Molecule: non-coding RNA, 1078 nt
Organism: Lupinus albus (white lupine)
Lineage: Eukaryota; Viridiplantae; Streptophyta; Magnoliopsida; Fabales; Fabaceae
Source: the annotation of a GenBank genome assembly
UUUAUUUUAUUUGACAAGUCUACCAUAAAUUCAUAUGAAUAAUUGUACUUAGAUUAGAAUCAAUAUCCCAUUCAUAAUCAUAUGUGGAAGAUGUAAUGUAAUGAUGUUUUAGAAAGUAGGCCUAUCAACUAAAACAAAGCAAUGAAUCCCUAAACUUCACUUCACUUCACUUCUCCAUCUUCCUUCAUCGGAAUCAUGUCUUCUCUUCUCCAAGGUACCUCUUGUAAUGGCGUUUGUUCAGCGGUGAUGGUAGCAACCAGGUUGCGGUUCGAAAUUGGCAGUGACUAAAGGUUUCGGUAGAACAUAUUGAGCCAUCCACGAAGUUCCACCAUUAACUGGACUCACUUCCUUCCCAACUAUAGCGGUUUUAGCACAGCAUCUUCUUCUUCAAAGGCUAAGAAACAAGCUAAAACAGUUUGCUGAUCAAUACGAACUAUCUGAGCAGCAACAUGGCCAGAAGUUGAAGCAAAAGUCAUUGGAACUACAGCUUGCUGAUUUAAAAAUUAAGCAACAUGGGGAAAAAUUGGCUCAGGAACAGUCUCAAAUGAAAGUAUAUGCAGAACAAAUAUCUCAGUUAUUAGCAACUGAGAAGAAUUUUCUAUAGCAGCUGAUGGAGAAAAAUUCCAACAAUUCCAGGAAGCAUUGUCAACAAGCAAUGAGGUUUUUGAAACGUUUAAACAAGAGAUUAAGAAGAUGGCAAAAUUAAUCAAGGAACUCAAGAAGGAGAAUCAAUUCCUGAGGAGUAAAUAAGAGAAGUCUGAUGUUACAAUUGUAGAAUUUGCAGGGCAUAUUUCCACAUGAGAUGUUGCUGGUGAGGAAUUUGCAGGGCAUAUUCUUUUUGUUUUUGUUGCAUUGUAAUUGGAGGUCGUGUAAAUUUGCCUCUUUGUUCAUUAGUAGUAGAUGCAUAUGUACAUAGUACUUGUACUCAUUCCUGUUUUAGUAGUCUUCACUUGCCUAGUAAAACAUGCAAUACUGUGCAUGGCCAGAGGAAGUUUGCUAAAAACUGGAAAAUAAUGAAGUGAUUGGUGAGUAAAACUAACUUAUACAUGUGAUAGUUUAUGAGUAAAACUUACUUUUU